This is a long non-coding RNA of Homo sapiens (human), 4326 nucleotides long. Ensembl annotates it as TTC28 antisense RNA 1. Its record names the gene TTC28-AS1. The record is from Ensembl. NCBI's taxonomy places the organism in Eukaryota, Metazoa, Chordata, Mammalia, Primates, Hominidae.
GCCGAAGAGCGUGCGGCUUCUACUGCGGCUGCGCAAGCUCGACGCGCGCACUCUUGUCUGCUUACGAGGGCUCCUCCCUUCAGCUUUGGUCCCUCGGGGCGUCUGGGCAGCCUACGCUUUCCGACUGGAAUCAGCCAUUUUACCAAGAAAGUUGGGUUUCUUUUACUGGCAAAUAGUACUUCAAGAGCACAGUCUUAUGUAAGUAAACACUGGGAUGCCGGAGCUCAGGCAUCCCAGACAGGAGGAAGUGUGUACUCACACCAGCCAGGAGGAAACAAGCCUGCCUGGGAGGACAGACGAUCAGCCCUGGCUGUCCCUCAGGAGCGGGGGGCCUCCAAGGCACACUGCCCACUGGGUCAAGGAGUAUCCAGGAGGAGUUAGAAGCAUGACCCAUCUGCCUGGCACCAGCACCUGGGGCUGCCAGGCAGCCACCCCUGCAGCUGUGUUGACAGGACCUGGCAGAGGGACUGACCCACCUUUGGAAAAUGACACCAGCAAUAUCAGGAUGUGUCAACUGGAUUUAUGCUAAGAAAAUAGGAUUUUUGGUGUUCCUCUGUUUCCCAAAGUUUGAGACACUUUCAGACACUCUGCUUUGCGGUUGUGGCCGAUGUUACCCAUGGGUGGGACUUUUGCUUUGCUCUAGAUUUUUGUAACACCCUGGGGAGUUUCAGGGGCCAAUGCUGAGAGAAGACCACAGGCUGACACAUCAUGAGACCCUCUGGGCAGGUCCACUAAGAGCAUGUAUUCUAGAACAUGCAGGGCUUGAAGCUUCACAAGAUAUUCAGUGCACUCCUUACAGAUCCUGUCAAAUGUGGACCGGGUGGUGUCAUCGCACCACCAUCAUCCCCUUGUUACCCCUGAGAACACAGCUUCAGAGAGGGGCGGCGCUGGCUUUCAGGCCGUUCAGCAGGGAUGAGUAGAAGGCAUGGAUGAACAUCUUAGAAGCAGCCACUGGCACAGGCCACAGAGACACGAGGACACACUGAGCGCCGGCAGCCAGGAAGGCCCUUGUCAGCGCGAUGACCCCGUCGGCUGUGACUUUGCUGUUGGACUCCUGGGAGGAGCCAAGCACCACCAGCUUCACAGGCAGCUGCAGGUCCAGGACGUCGGCGGCAGUGCCUAACUUACUGAGAAUCAUGCCUGCUGUGAUGAGCCCUUGGAAACCAUCAGGACUGGAUGGUAGGGGUCCUGAGAGGAUUGGGGGAGGAGGCCUUGAUAUGACAGAGUGGACAGAGGCCGUGGAACCCAGGACAGCCAGCCUGCUCCACAAUCCUCAUCCCCACAGACCUUCAUGUGUGGCUCCUAAAUAAGAGGAAACCCACUCCUGAUAAGUCAGGGGCUUUGAAAAGUGAUUUUGUUUAAAUGGUGCAAACAAGCAAGCCAAUCUUGGGGAGACAGGGCUAAACUUAAGUCCUUUAAGAAGCUCUACAUACUGACAAGAUUCUAGUUCCCUUCCACCUUAUAUGCUGCAAAGUAAAAAGUAUCACUGAAUGAGAAAAUCAGCAUAAAGAAGCCCAAUAAUGUCUGCCUGAGUUUCCCCUAUGAUGACUUUUGGUACUUUUUGGGAAACAUUAAGUAUGAAGUUAUUUCAAAAUAAUUUUUUGGUGCCUCUGCUUGGUGAUGCCUUAAACUCUGGGUAAGAGAAACACCAGGUGCCUGUCAGGAGAUGGCCUUUUCCAGGUUUCUGGUUAAGCUACAAACAGCUAACUGGCUGCUGUCAUCAAAAUAAAAGCUUUCUGAAGGUGGAGGCAUCUGAUACCCAGAGUGCUGCUAUCAGCCGGCACGGUGGGCCGCUGGGUGGCAGGAGCGUCGAGAAGGCCAGCUCGCUUCCUAUCUGGGAUUCAGAAUCAGCUAUGGAAACUUGAGAGACCUAGAGAAAAUAACUUCUUUCACUUUGAACUGAUUCUUUGCUUCAUAAGAAAAGUAUUAUCCAGCCACAAAAAUGGUCAAAAUUCAGAUCUACAAAAGCCUGUCAGGCAGAAACUGACCCCACUUAGGCCACGCCAAUGAGCAAGUCAUCAAAGCAGCCAAGACAGGUCCUGUGGGGGCCACCCAUGCACAGGGCCCAGCCUCGGGUCCUAACCCCGCCUAUGCUUUCCGCCACCAUAAAGAGGCCCAUCUGGGUAAGACCUGUCCCGCCUGCUGUGGGGUAUUAGGGCAGAUGGGGUCUGAGGGGUCUGAGGGCUCUGAGAGCAGCUGGCAGCUCAAGGACAUCCGGAGUUGGAGGAUGGAGCAAUGCAGGCCCUUGUGGUAAAGACAGUCCUGCAGCCGCGCAGGCAGGGAUGCUGCAAGUGGAGUGCCAGGCGGGUGCGGAGCCCUGUGGGACUGUGGAGGGGUCAGAGGGAAGCCAGGAUUUUGGGGUCUCUGAGAGUUUGGAGAAGGGGAAGAAGAUUAAAGCUUGUUUCAAAAGUUUCUAAUCAGGUGGGCAGGGCCAAGGGUGGCUGUGGGGUGAGACCCAUGACUCAGGGUGGCCCACUGUUACUCUAUUGAUUUUUGGGCGUUUUUUUCCAAAUUGAUUAUUCUUGCUGAAUGAGACCUGAGUCCUUGACUGUCCCCUUAAAGCCACCUGACUUGUUUUCAGUUCCACUGGCCUGUCGGGCUGUUUUCUACUCAACUCCACUCUUGCUUGUCUGCCCUCCCUGCCUGGGGCCCAGCCAGCAGUCAGCUCAAGGGCCAGAUGAAUUGGGUGGCUGUGCUCUGCCCACUGGGCAUCGUGUGGAUGGUGGGUGACCAGCCCCCUCAGGUGCUCAGCCAGGCCUCAAGCCUUGCUGUGUACCUCAGAGCAGCUCCGUACCCUGAUGUCACAGCAAAGAAACUUAGACAUGACACAAACUGUGGCUUCCCAAGGCAGCAAAGAAUGGCCAGGGGUCAUGAGGGCCGUGCCCCACUUUUGGACAGACCUACUCUAAAGUCACGCUACCUGCGUGCAAAUCAUAAAAUCAACACUUUUGAGGAGAUCACAGCUAUGCCUUCGUAACACAGCCCAGUCCGACCAGAUAGACGGUGCCUCGUGACCCGAAAACAAGCCCCCGGCCCCCCACCAUGUGUGUGAGCCUUACCUUGGACUGCACGCUGAGGGAGCGGAUGGAAGGGACAGCAAGGAGGCCGAAGCGCUCGUAGAGGUACUCAUUGGAGGAGCUUCCCUUCAGGAGGGCGAAAGGAAUGAGGUAGAGCUCCCCCUCCAGAACCAGGAUGAGCUGCCGGUGCCGGCCCACGGGGCCGCUGGAGUGCAUCAGGCCCUAUGGAGCAAGCACGGAGAGGCUGACAUGGGUGGCCCAGCAGGCAGGGGUUUCAGGCACCAGGACAACCCUGAGCCCUAGCCUGGAUGACACAAGCACGAGCAGGUGAGGCCUGUGGGGGUGUGGGGCGCCAUGGGGCAUGGGCCGAGUUGCAGCCCUGCAGGAGCGGCACCAACUGGCAUGCUCGCUUGUGGACUGGCAAGGGCUGGCCUGGCAGCAUCCAUCUGCCUCACAGUCCUGAGAAGGUUAGAGGACAGUUUCUUGAAGUUCACAAGAACCUGAAGUGGGUUGGAGACCGGUCUGUACCGCACAGGCACCCUGAGAAGGGGUGGGAAUGGCCCCUCUCAAAACAAGAUCUGUUUUCCAUUUCAAUGGACAAGAGGCUAGAAAAUCACAGUGAGGACGGGAGGUCUGGGGGCUGGCAUGACAGCCCCUGUAGAAGGGGAUGGGCUGGGUUCUAGGAUCUUCCGUGACCUCCUCUGAGAAAGAGUGGCCCCUUGGCUCUGGGCUUGGGAGGUGCCGUCCCCACUUGUUCCCUCUGGGGAUGUCAGGGGACCCAAUGCAUGGAUGACUCCCAUCCCUCUUGAAAGGCCGAGCAUGAGGACUCGAGGCAGGGUGUGCACAGGGCCACAGCGGACACAGCCUCAUUCCUGUUCAUUGCAGAACAAGGCUAAGGGCGCGGGCAUCUUAAUGAGAGCAGCAGGCAACAAUCCUGGAAGCUGGGUCCACACAGACUGCGGUGAACAAAGAGGUGGCGUGGAAGCUGCUGCUGCAGCCCAGAGCCUGCCAAGAAGGUCCCAGGUCCACAGGGCCUGCGCAACACUGGGUGCCAGGGGUGGGGCUGGCCUGCCCCCCAACCCCAUCUGCUGAGGAGUGGCUGACAAGCGGACACCCACCAGGGUGCCACUCGCUUGUGCCUGGGGAAGCAAAUGUGCUCGCUUGACCCGUCUGAUGUGCUGCCGUGGGCACUUGACUGAGAGUGGCAGAGCACUAGGCUAACCCAAAGUGACACAUGCCUGGCGGGAUGUUCAGUCUCUGUAAACCCAUAUGGUUUUUUUUUUUCUUUCCUUUAAAAAAAAUUUCUAGC